UAUACGGGAGGCAGCAGUGGGGAAUAUUGCACAAUGGGCGCAAGCCUGAUGCAGCCAUGCCGCGUGUAUGAAGAAGGCCUUCGGGUUGUAAAGUACUUUCAGCGGGGAGGAAGGUGUUGAGGUUAAUAACCUCAGCGAUUGACGUUACCCGCAGAAGAAGCACCGGCUAACUCCGUGCCAGCAGCCGCGGUAAUACGGAGGGUGCAAGCGUUAAUCGGAAUUACUGGGCGUAAAGCGCACGCAGGCGGUCUGUCAAGUCGGAUGUGAAAUCCCCGGGCUCAACCUGGGAACUGCAUUCGAAACUGGCAGGCUAGAGUCUUGUAGAGGGGGGUAGAAUUCCAGGUGUAGCGGUGAAAUGCGUAGAGAUCUGGAGGAAUACCGGUGGCGAAGGCGGCCCCCUGGACAAAGACUGACGCUCAGGUGCGAAAGCGUGGGAGCAAACAGGAUUAGAUACCCUGGUAGUCCACGCCGUAAACGAUGUCGACUUGGAGGUUGUGCCCUUGAGCGUGGCUUCCGGAGCUAACGCGUUAAGUCGACCGCCUGGGGGAAUACGGCCGCAAGGUUAAAACUCAAAUGAAUUGACGGGGGCCCGCACAAGCGGUGGAACAUGUGGUUUAAUUCGAUGCAACGCGAAAAUUUACCUACUCUUGACUUCCAGAGAACUUUCCAGAAAUGUUUUGUGGCUUCGGGAACUCUGAAACAGGUGUUGCAUGGCUGUCC
Molecule: ribosomal RNA, 720 nt
Filed under: Pantoea agglomerans
Lineage: Bacteria; Pseudomonadati; Pseudomonadota; Gammaproteobacteria; Enterobacterales; Erwiniaceae
Description: bacterial SSU rRNA
Rfam family: Bacterial small subunit ribosomal RNA
Source: RNAcentral